This is a long non-coding RNA of Daphnia magna, 567 nucleotides long. RefSeq lists it as uncharacterized. The transcript is spliced from 4 exons. Lineage: Eukaryota; Metazoa; Arthropoda; Branchiopoda; Diplostraca; Daphniidae. The record is from RefSeq and is a predicted model, not a curated record.
GACUAGAUGCCGAUGUAACGGGCCUAUUGUCAAGUGGUGUAAGUUCGGCGAAUGCAUCUAAUGGUGGCUCAAUGAAUUGGACGAACACUAAGAAAGCAAAUGUCAGCAUAAAUAAUGGUCCAUCCUAUGAGCAUUUGAUGGUCAUGAAGGCUCUUCAGCAAGUAAUAGAGCUGUCAAAAAGAUUGAUUUGAGAAUAAGAAAUAUUGAAGACAAAAUUGAUCGGAAAAUUACUCCUGAAAUUGAAGGAAAUAAUUGGGAGGGACUUCCACUUAAAGACGUAACUGAAUUUCAAGCAUUUGAGAAAAAGUUAUUGUCGGACCCCCAGACGUUUGAUGCUGUGGUUCUUCUAGUGGAAAGAUGUGGUGGCGAUACUGUUGCUGAAGCGGUAACUAGGGCGUGGGAUCGAAUAACAACGAAGGAGUGUCGAUCUGCUUGCAAUUGGUGCGGAAUUAAGAAAAAGGGUGUGAAGAAACAUAAAAUUUCAGGCUCUAAAAUUGUUGAUGCUGUUCACAAGGGUGUCCGUAAGACACUACCAGACGCUAAGGAUUCUCAGUUGGAAAAAGAAAC